GAUGAACGCUGGCGGCGUGCUUAAUACAUGCAAGUCGAGCGAACGGCCGCGAAGCUUGGCUCCUUGCUGUUUGAGGGGGGAGGGGGAGUGAAACGUGGAAAAAACCUCUAUAAGACUGGGAUAACUCAGUGGAAACGUAGUUCUAACACGGCAAUCUUUUUAACCGCAUGAUCCAAAAGAGAAAGAAGGUCUUGCUGACACUUAUACUUGCAUCCGCGCUGCAUUAGCUAGUUGGUAAGGUAACGGCUUACCAAGGCAACGAUGGAUAGCCGACUUGAGAGGUGGACCGGCCACACUGGAACUGAGCCACGGUCCAGACUCCAACGGGAGGCAGCAUUAGGGAAUCUCCGGCAUGGGGCGAAAGCCGGACGGAGCAAGGCGGCGUGAGGGAGGAAGGUCUUCGGAUCUUAAACCUCGUUUAUCAGGGAAGAACAUAUGUGUAAGAAACUGGGCACAUCUUGACGGUACCGAAUCAGAAAGCCACGGCUAACUACGUG
This 497-nucleotide ribosomal RNA is filed under the name uncultured bacterium. RNAcentral's name for it is "partial 16S ribosomal RNA". It matches the Rfam family "Bacterial small subunit ribosomal RNA", at positions 28 to 507 of the family's 1533-position model. The record is from RNAcentral.